CGGAAGGAUCAUUACAAGUGAGGCUACCGAACGUUGGAAACAGCGGUUAGGAGCUUACACCCACCCGUGUUUACAUACUAUUGUUGCUUUGGCGGGCCGUGGCCUCCACUGCGGGCUCUGCUCGUGUGUGCCCGCCAGAGAACCAAACUCUGAAUGUUAGUGAUGUCUGAGUACUAUCUAAUAGUUAAAACUUUCAACAACGGAUCUCUUGGUUCUGGCAUCGAUGAAGAACGCAGCGAAAUGCGAUAAGUAAUGUGAAUUGCAGAAUUCAGUGAAUCAUCGAAUCUUUGAACGCACAUUGCGCCCUGUGGUAUUCCGCAGGGCAUGCCUGUUCGAGCGUCAUUUAACCACUCACGCCUAGCGUGGUAUUGGGGCACGCGGUCUCCGCGGCCCUCAAAAUUAGUGGCGGCGCCGGUGGGCUCUAAGCGUAGUACAUACUCCCGCUAUAGAGUUCCCCCGGUGGCUCGCCAGAACCCCCAAUUUUUACAGGUGACCUCGGAUCAGG
Molecule: small RNA, 505 nt
Filed under: fungal sp. JH 121
Lineage: Eukaryota; Fungi
Description: eukaryotic LSU rRNA
Rfam family: 5.8S ribosomal RNA (bases 189-342)
Source: RNAcentral